RNAcentral lists this ribosomal RNA (497 nucleotides) under uncultured bacterium. Its description in RNAcentral is "partial 16S ribosomal RNA". It matches the Rfam family "Bacterial small subunit ribosomal RNA", at positions 28 to 507 of the family's 1533-position model. The record is from RNAcentral.
GAUGAACGCUGGCGGCGUGCCUAACACAUGCAAGUCGAGCGAAGAGAUGCGUUGCUUGCUCCUCUGAGGUUAGCGGUGGCCGGGUGAGGAGCACGUCGAUAGCCUCCUUCUAAGACUGUGAUAACAUCGGCAAACAGGAGUUACUACUGCAUAAUAUAUUGAACCGCAUGGUUGAAUAGUCUAAGACGGUUUUGCUGUCGCUUGUGGAUGGAUUCGCGCCGUAUUAGCUAGUUGGUAAGGUAAUGGCCUACCAAGGCAACGAUGCGUAGCCGACCUGAGAGGGGGGUCGGCCACAACGGAACUGAGACACGGUCCAGACUCCUACGGGAGGCAGCAGUAGGGAAGCUUACGCAAUGGGCGAAAGCCUGACGGAGCAACGCCGCGGGAGUGAUGAUGGUCUUCGGAGCGUAAAACUCUGUUAUUGGGGGAGAAGAAAGGUGGAAGUGUCUAUGCACGUCUUGACGGUACCUAGACAGAAAGCCACGGCUAACUACGUG